Molecule: long non-coding RNA, 262 nt
Filed under: Solanum tuberosum (potato)
Lineage: Eukaryota; Viridiplantae; Streptophyta; Magnoliopsida; Solanales; Solanaceae
Description: long non-coding RNA (STUB_LNC005593)
Source: RNAcentral
GUGAUACAUCACGAUUAAAAUUAUAAAUAUAACCAAGUACACAACAACGAAUAACAGAAGAAAAAACAUCUUAAACCUACUAUAAAGUUAAAAGGAGCAAAGAAGUAAUCCCUUGUAUGAAGUUUGUAAGGAUCAUCCUGGGCUUGAGGCAGUGGUAUCAGUUCUACAGAGCUCAACCUGCACAAAUUAGGAUAAUGUUCUAUAUAAACUUCAUCAAAAGGUCGAGCUAAGUGUAUGAAUUGUAAGAGUGAUUUUAUCUCGA